This is a long non-coding RNA of Glycine soja, 945 nucleotides long. RefSeq lists it as uncharacterized. The transcript is spliced from 2 exons. Lineage: Eukaryota; Viridiplantae; Streptophyta; Magnoliopsida; Fabales; Fabaceae. The record is from RefSeq and is a predicted model, not a curated record.
UGUAUAGUUUUCAUUUGCCUUCAAGUAGUUUUGACAGAAUCAAUUCGUGAUGAUUUCAGUUUGUGAAGUUUGGAACAAAUCACUGGCACUCCAUGGCUGUAUAAUAACAUUUGUCUUUAUGAUGUAUUUGAAAUUGCUAUUUGGGUGAUUGUUUAUUUUGUUAUUUUUUUUAGAAACAUAUUCCCGAAUGGAUUCAUAGAAAGUUGUAUUUCACACGAUCUCUAUGUGUAUACUGAAAUUCUAUCAUAGGAGGUUUAUGCUCUUGUAGUUGGUAUCAUGUUGGUAGCCUUGUCGGCAAAAUUGAGUUGUUAUAUGUAUUUUUGGAAUGUAGCUAAGAUAGUAAUUUUUGUAAUAGCAGACACGGCCAUCCGGGAAAUGAUACGAGGUAACUUUUUAUUUCCUUAUAUUUAUAUUUAUAGCUGAAACUUUAGAGUUUAAAACCACUUCUAUUUGUUUUAAGCAAGAACUUGCUCUGACUCUUGCUCUGUUUUCCAGAUGAAGUUAAUCAAUCUAUAAUUAUAAGGAUGAACAUGAUUGCUUUGUGGUUCCAUUUCUUUCAGCAGUCCAUUUAGAUGAGAAUGUAUACAGUGGAGAAAUUGGAGAACUAGUCCAUUCUAUGCACCCUUUGGAGGAGGGGCUAGAUUCUGUCCAGGAGCAGAGUUGGCUCGCAUAUAAAUUGCUUUUUUUUUCUUCAUUACUUCGUAACUACCUACAGGUAAUGCCCCUCUUUCUCUCUGGUAUUUGAGAAUGAGAAAUGCCUCCUCUUUAUUCUUUAUUCUUGAUGUCAUGUGUCCUACUUCUUAUCUAUUGUGUAUUUGGUUCAACUUUGAAAUGCAUUUUAUAACUUCAUGAUUUUGUUUGAUUUAACAUGAAAAUUUGAGAAUACUUUGUGAAGACAUAAGGCUCUCUCAGCAGUGAGAGUAUACACAAGUUUUAUUUCUUGCU